UAACGUCCUGCCAAACCCGUCC
This 22-nucleotide non-coding RNA is filed under the name Arabidopsis thaliana (thale cress). The record is from RNAcentral. Lineage: Eukaryota; Viridiplantae; Streptophyta; Magnoliopsida; Brassicales; Brassicaceae.